AAUAGAUACCCAGGUAGUCCACGCCGUAAACGAUGUCGACUUGGAGGUUGUUCCCUUGAGGAGUGGCUUCCGGAGCUAACGCGUUAAGUCGACCGCCUGGGGAGUACGGCCGCAAGGUUAAAACUCAAAUGAAUUGACGGGGGGCCCGCACAAGCGGUGGAGCAUGUGGUUUAAUUCGAUGCAACGUGAAGAACCUUACCUACUCUUGACAUCCAGAGAACUUAGCAGAGAUGCUUUGGUGCCUUCGGGGAACUCUGAGACAGGUGCUGCAUGGCUGUCGUCAGCUCGUGUUGUGAAAUGUUGGGUUAAGUCCCGCAACGAGCGCAACCCUUAUCCUUUGUUGCCAGCGGUUAGGCCGGGAACUCAAAGGAGACUGCCAGUGAUAAACUGGAGAAGGUGGGGAUGACGUCAAGUCAUCAUGGCCCUUACGAGUAGGGCUACACACGUGCUACAAUGGCGCAUACAAAGAGAAGCGACCUCGCGAGAGCAAGCGGACCUCAUAAAGUGCGUCGUAGUCCGGAUUGGAGU
Molecule: ribosomal RNA, 528 nt
Filed under: uncultured bacterium
Lineage: Bacteria
Description: bacterial SSU rRNA
Rfam family: Bacterial small subunit ribosomal RNA
Source: RNAcentral